RNAcentral lists this unclassified non-coding RNA (334 nucleotides) under plant metagenome. Its description in RNAcentral is "partial contains 5.8S ribosomal RNA, internal transcribed spacer 2, and large subunit ribosomal RNA". The stretch from base 1 to 105 matches the Rfam family "5.8S ribosomal RNA", at positions 50 to 154 of the family's 154-position model. The record is from RNAcentral.
GAAAUGCGAUAAGUAAUGUGAAUUGCAGAAUUCAGUGAAUCAUCGAAUCUUUGAACGCACAUUGCGCCCGGCAGCAAUCUGCCGGGCAUGCCUGUCCGAGCGUCAUUUCUGCCCUCGAGCGCGGUUCGGCCCCUAGCGGGCCGGCCGCCGCCCGGUGUUGGGGCGCUGCGGGCCCUCGUGCCCGCAGGCCCUGAAAUGAAGUGGCGGUCCCGCCGCGGCGCCCCCUGCGUAGUAGUAAAGCACCUCGCAUCGGGUCCCGGCGGAGGUCAGCCGUCGAACCUCUCUUUUGAUGGUUUGACCUCGGAUCAGGUAGGGUUACCCGCUGAACUUAAGC